AGAGUUUGAUCCAGGCUCAGAUUGAACGCUGGCGGAAUGCUUUACACAUGCAAGUCGAACGGCAGCACGGGGGCAACCCUGGUGGCGAGUGGCGAACGGGUGAGUAAUACAUCGGAACGUGCCCAGUCGUGGGGGAUAACUACGCGAAAGCGUAGCUAAUACCGCAUACGAUCUACGGAUGAAAGCGGGGGAUCGCAAGACCUCGCGCGAUUGGAGCGGCCGAUGGCAGAUUAGGUAGUUGGUGAGGUAAAGGCUCACCAAGCCUGCGAUCUGUAGCUGGUCUGAGAGGACGACCAGCCACACUGGGACUGAGACACGGCCCAUACUCCUACGGGAGGCAGCAGUGGGGAAUUUUGGACAAUGGGCGCAAGCCUGAUCCAGCCAUUCCGCGUGCAAGAU
RNAcentral lists this ribosomal RNA (399 nucleotides) under uncultured bacterium. RNAcentral describes it as "bacterial SSU rRNA". It matches the Rfam family "Bacterial small subunit ribosomal RNA", at positions 8 to 409 of the family's 1533-position model. The record is from RNAcentral.